GGAGCGCGCCAGACCGCCGCUGGCACGAGACCCGAAAGGGUGUGCUGGAGGAACGUCCGGACUGCACAGGACAGCGUAGGAGGUAACACCUCUCCACCGACAAGUCGCAAGACCCUAAGGUGAGGAUCAGAGCAACAGAGACGAGUCCGGUGGGAGUGCCGCAAGGCAGACCAGCCGGGGUGAAACGGGCAAUCUCUACGCGCAGCAAUACCAAAUAGGCCAGCGUUGAUGUGGUUCCGCGGAGCUGGCGGGUAGGUAGCACCGAGCCGGGUGGGCGACCCCCGGCCCAGAGGAAUGGCGGUCACAUCCGGGGCAACCCGGAUGCACAGAAUCCGGCUUAUCGGCGCGCUUCACAC
This is a non-coding RNA of Hydrogenophaga sp. H7, 356 nucleotides long. It matches the Rfam family "Bacterial RNase P class A". Rfam says of the family: Ribonuclease P (RNase P) is a ubiquitous endoribonuclease, found in archaea, bacteria and eukarya as well as chloroplasts and mitochondria. Its best characterised activity is the generation of mature 5'-ends of tRNAs by cleaving the 5'-leader elements of precursor-tRNAs. Lineage: Bacteria; Pseudomonadati; Pseudomonadota; Betaproteobacteria; Burkholderiales; Comamonadaceae. The record is from Rfam.